GGCAAUAUAGUCCAGUGGUAGGACACUUGCCUGACAUAUAAGAGGAGUUGGAUUCAAUUCCUAGUACUGCAA
RNAcentral lists this transfer RNA (72 nucleotides) under Cavia porcellus (domestic guinea pig). It matches the Rfam family "tRNA". From Rfam's summary of the family: Transfer RNA (tRNA) molecules are approximately 80 nucleotides in length. Their secondary structure includes four short double-helical elements and three loops (D, anti-codon, and T loops). Further hydrogen bonds mediate the characteristic L-shaped molecular structure. tRNAs have two regions of fundamental functional importance: the anti-codon, which is responsible for specific mRNA codon recognition, and the 3' end, to which the tRNAs corresponding amino acid is attached (by aminoacyl-tRNA synthetases). tRNAs cope with the degeneracy of the genetic code in two manners: having more than one tRNA (with a specific anti-codon) for a particular amino acid; and 'wobble' base-pairing, i.e. permitting non-standard base-pairing at the 3rd anti-codon position. The record is from Rfam by way of RNAcentral. Lineage: Eukaryota; Metazoa; Chordata; Mammalia; Rodentia; Caviidae.